GAGAGAGAGAGAGAUAGAGAGAGAGAGAGAGAGAGAGAGAGAGAGAGAGAGAUUAAUCAUUUUCAUGUAUUAAGAUUUUGUCUUGGCAAUUUAAUGUCUCGGACAUCUAGUGUGGGAUAGUUUCUUAUCCAUGUAAAGCAAACUGCCUCUGAUUCUUGUCUGUGUUUUAGAGCUCUGAAAACAUUGAAAAAUUGACCAUUUUCUGGAAGGUCUUUGAGUCCCUGAUGUGUGUGUAUAAUGCAGUAUCUUUGAAGCUCUCUACCACUCGUGUGCAUGCGGCCCAAUUGUGGCAACCAAAACUAGGUCGGAUUCAAUGAGUAUUUUAAAGCCAGGACUCUAACCGGGACUCGCUGGGAGCAUGAGCCGAAUUCAGCACCACUACUCAGGGAAAUGAGGAAGAGUGGAUAUAUGGAGUGAAAGGUGAAGCAUGAUUUUUGGAGCGCCAGGCGGCGGAUGCAUGUGCAUGUAACAUGGUGGGCCAAGGAGGAAGCAGUUUAUGAAAAUGAAAUAUAAAUUCAAGUAACUUCGUUAGCUUGU
Non-coding RNA from Amborella trichopoda, 537 nucleotides. Lineage: Eukaryota; Viridiplantae; Streptophyta; Magnoliopsida; Amborellales; Amborellaceae. The record is from RefSeq and is a predicted model, not a curated record.